This 390-nucleotide transfer-messenger RNA is filed under the name Cellvibrionaceae. RNAcentral's name for it is "Pseudomaricurvus sp009857815 Standard tmRNA". It matches the Rfam family "transfer-messenger RNA". From Rfam's summary of the family: Bacterial tmRNA, also known as 10Sa RNA or SsrA, is named for its dual tRNA and mRNA-like properties. Its role is to liberate the mRNA from a stalled ribosome. To accomplish this part of the tmRNA is used as a reading frame that ends in a translation stop signal. RNAcentral also lists the same sequence under 1 other name. Lineage: Bacteria; Pseudomonadati; Pseudomonadota; Gammaproteobacteria; Cellvibrionales. The record is from RNAcentral.
GGGGCCGAUUUGGAUUCGACGCCGGUAACAAAACCUCAGGUGCAUGUCGUGAUGGCAACCAAUCACGUUAAUCCAAAGUUGCACAUUAUUAGUUGCCAACGAUGACAACUACGGUGCUCAACUGGCUGCGUAAGUAGCCCUUUGAAACACCAUCUAGUGGUUCGCCGCUAGCGGUCCUUAACAAGGUGCCUGUACCGCGUUACUGACUGUCAUAUAGAACAGGAUCGCCGUGAAGCCUGCCUGGGGUGGAUCAGCUAAAUUCUUAUCAGGAUCGCCUGCUACGUCUUGGCCACUGGGCUGUAGCGGGUUAAACCAAAUAGUGGAACUAAGCAUGUAGACCCUAAGGCGGAGUGCUGACGGACGGGGGUUCAAAUCCCCCCGGCUCCACCA